This 892-nucleotide ribosomal RNA is filed under the name uncultured bacterium. RNAcentral describes it as "bacterial SSU rRNA". It matches the Rfam family "Bacterial small subunit ribosomal RNA", at positions 8 to 853 of the family's 1533-position model. The record is from RNAcentral.
AGAGUUUGAUCAUGGCUCAGGAUGAACGCUGGCGGCGUGCCUAAUACAUGCAAGUCGAACGCUUUGUGGUUCAACUGAUUUGAAGAGCUUGCUCAGAUAUGACGAUGGACAUUGCAAAGAGUGGCGAACGGGUGAGUAACACGUGGGAAACCUACCUCUUAGCAGGGGAUAACAUUUGGAAACAGAUGCUAAUACCGUAUAACAAUAGCAACCGCAUGGUUGCUACUUAAAAGAUGGUUCUGCUAUCACUAAGAGAUGGUCCCGCGGUGCAUUAGUUAGUUGGUGAGGUAAUGGCUCACCAAGACGAUGAUGCAUAGCCGAGUUGAGAGACUGAUCGGCCACAAUGGGACUGAGACACGGCCCAUACUCCUACGGGAGGCAGCAGUAGGGAAUCUUCCACAAUGGGCGAAAGCCUGAUGGAGCAACGCCGCGUGUGUGAUGAAGGGUUUCGGCUCGUAAAACACUGUUGUAAGAGAAGAAUGACAUUGAGAGUAACUGUUCAAUGUGUGACGGUAUCUUACCAGAAAGGAACGGCUAAAUACGUGCCAGCAGCCGCGGUAAUACGUAUGUUCCAAGCGUUAUCCGGAUUUAUUGGGCGUAAAGCGAGCGCAGACGGUUAUUUAAGUCUGAAGUGAAAGCCCUCAGCUCAACUGAGGAAUUGCUUUGGAAACUGGAUGAUUUGAGUGCAGUAGAGGAAAGUGGAACUCCAUGUGUAGCGGUGAAAUGCGUAGAUAUAUGGAAGAACACCAGUGGCGAAGGCGGCUUUCUGGACUGUAACUGACGUUGAGGCUCGAAAGUGUGGGUAGCAAACAGGAUUAGAUACCCUGGUAGUCCACACCGUAAACGAUGAGUGCUAGGUGUUUGAGGGUUUCCGCCCUUAAGUGCCGCAGCU